CACCAACACAGUCAGGCUCCAAGUACUUUUAGGUGGCUUACAGAUUUUGGUUGACAAUUCAUAUUUUCUCCGCAUAUUUUUAGUGAGUGAAGGCAUGCUUAACCACUCAUGAUUCCAGUAGUUGGUUAAUCACUUCUUUAGAAUCUUCAAAAGAGGGUGCUUUGUGUAAAUAGGACUCUAUAGUUCCUGAGCUGAAAGUCAGGAUUUUACGGCUUGCCCCUUGUCAAAACUAUGAAUUCAAAGCGUAUUUGAAUUCCAUUUAUCAUA
RNAcentral lists this long non-coding RNA (267 nucleotides) under Citrus maxima (pomelo). RNAcentral describes it as "long non-coding RNA (CMAX_LNC001919)". Lineage: Eukaryota; Viridiplantae; Streptophyta; Magnoliopsida; Sapindales; Rutaceae. The record is from RNAcentral.